UACGUAGGGACCAAGCGUUGUUCGGAUUUACUGGGCGUAAAGGGCGCGUAGGCGGCAAUUCAAGUCAGCUGUGAAAUCUCCGGGCUUAACUCGGAACGGUCAGCUGAUACUGCUUUGCUAGAGUGCAGAAGGGGCAAUCGGAAUUCUUGGUGUAGCGGUGAAAUGCGUAGAUAUCAAGAGGAACACCUGAGGUGAAGACGGGUUGCUGGGCUGACACUGACGCUGAGGCGCAAAAGCUAGGGUAGCAAACGGG
This 253-nucleotide ribosomal RNA is filed under the name uncultured bacterium. RNAcentral describes it as "partial 16S ribosomal RNA". It matches the Rfam family "Bacterial small subunit ribosomal RNA", at positions 524 to 776 of the family's 1533-position model. The record is from RNAcentral.